Molecule: ribosomal RNA, 258 nt
Filed under: uncultured Glomus
Lineage: Eukaryota; Fungi; Glomeromycota; Glomeromycetes; Glomerales; Glomeraceae
Description: partial 18S ribosomal RNA
Rfam family: Eukaryotic small subunit ribosomal RNA
Source: RNAcentral
AAGCUCGUAGUUGAAUUUCGGGGUUAGUAGGUUGGUCAUGCCUCUGGUAUGUACUGGUCUCACUGAUUCCUCCUUCCUUAUGAGCCGUAAUGCCAUUAAUUUGGUGUUGCGGGGAAUUUGGACUGUUACUUUGAAAAAAUUAGAGUGUUUAAAGCAAGCUAACGCUUGAAUACAUUAGCAUGGAAUAAUGAAAUAGGACGUUCGAUCUUAUUUUGUUGGUUUCUAGGAUUGACGUAAUGAUUAAUAGGGAUAGUUGGG